This 494-nucleotide ribosomal RNA is filed under the name uncultured bacterium. RNAcentral's name for it is "partial 16S ribosomal RNA". It matches the Rfam family "Bacterial small subunit ribosomal RNA", at positions 28 to 507 of the family's 1533-position model. The record is from RNAcentral.
GACGAACGCUGGCGGCGUGCUUAACACAUGCAAGUCGAACGGUGAAACGCCUUCCUUUUUGGUGGGUGUGGAUGAGUGGCGAACGGGUGAGUAACACGUGAGUAACCUGCCCCCUUCUUCUGGAUAACCGCAUGAAAGUGUGGCUAAUACGGGAUAUUCUGGGUCUGUCGCAUGAUGGGUCUGGGAAAGAUAUUGUUUCGGUGGGGGAUGGGCUCGCGGCCUAUCAGCUUGUUGGUGGGGUGAUGGCCUACCAAGGCGGUGACGGGUAGCCGGCCUGAGAGGGUGGACGGUCACACUGGGACUGAGACACGGCCCAGACUCCUACGGGAGGCAGCAGUGGGGAAUAUUGCACAAUGGGCGCAAGCCUGAUGCAGCGACGCAGCGUGAGGGAUGGAGGCCUUCGGGUUGUGAACCUCUUUCGCCAGUGAAGCAGGCCUGCCUCGUUUGUGGGUGGGUUGACGGUAGCUGGAUAAGAAGCGCCGGCUAACUACGUG